GCAAACUUGGUCAUUUAGAGGAAGUAAAAGUCGUAACAAGGUUUCCGUAGGUGAACCUGCGGAAGGAUCAUUAACGAGUUAGGGUCUUCUAGGCCCGACCUCCCAACCCUAUGUUUAUUGAACCUCUGUUGCUUCGGCGGGCCCGUCUCACGACCGCCGGAGGAGUCGCCGCGAGGCGGCCCUCUGGCCAGCGCCCGCCGACGGCCAAAUUCAAACUCUGAAUAAAUCGUGUCAUGAUGUCUAAGUCUAUGAUUAAAUUAACGCAAAACUUUCAACAACGGAUCUCUUGGUUCUGGCAUCGAUGAAGAACGCAGC
This 315-nucleotide unclassified non-coding RNA is filed under the name uncultured fungus. RNAcentral's name for it is "partial contains small subunit ribosomal RNA, internal transcribed spacer 1, and 5.8S ribosomal RNA". The stretch from base 1 to 73 matches the Rfam family "Eukaryotic small subunit ribosomal RNA", at positions 1759 to 1831 of the family's 1831-position model. Lineage: Eukaryota; Fungi. The record is from RNAcentral.